GGAUCGGUAUGUUGGUCGUGCUUCGGUACGUACUGUCAUUACCGGUUUCUACCUUCUGAAGAACCGCGAUGUCAUUAAUUUGGUGUCGUGGGGAAUCAGGACUGUUACUUUGAAAAAAUUAGAGUGUUUAAAGCAAGUGAAUAACAGCCUGAAUACAUUAGCAUGGAAUAAUAGAAUAGG
This 180-nucleotide ribosomal RNA is filed under the name uncultured Glomeromycotina. RNAcentral describes it as "partial small subunit ribosomal RNA". The record is from RNAcentral. Lineage: Eukaryota; Fungi; Glomeromycota.